Non-coding RNA from Microcebus murinus (gray mouse lemur), 3767 nucleotides. The record is from RefSeq and is a predicted model, not a curated record. NCBI's taxonomy places the organism in Eukaryota, Metazoa, Chordata, Mammalia, Primates, Cheirogaleidae.
UCCGGGCACAGUCUGUGAUCCAGAUCCUAGGGCAGAUCUGUUUCCUGGGAGUUUUGUAAGUGGCAUGAGGAGAGGAAGCCAUCUCUUGGGCUGGGAUUGUUGGGGGAAGAGUUGGGGGCUUCUCAGGGCACCAUGUACCCGCCCCCCGACGGGUUCUGGGAGAGGGGAGAGCCAGUCUGCAAGGAGAAGGGGCAGUGAGAAGCCGCUACAAGCAGAGUGAGAAGGGGCAGAGGGGCCCUCACAGCAGGGCCGCGUCCUCCUGCUUCUCAAUAUACAGGACACUCACAAUUAAGUCUAUUGACGGUUCCAUUGCAAAUGUCUAAACGAAAGAUAGUAUAUGGGAGAUGAUCAGAAAGUGGCAUCUGACGGUCGGCCUGACACCGCCUUCCCUUUGUGCCAUGGAAACACCCAUGAUGAUAAAGAAAAUCAUGAAAGCUCAGUGCUACCAAAAAUUAGUACUAAGAGAGAAACUAUUGCCAAAUGUGGAAGGAUGUUUCCAAGCCCAAGGGUGGCUUCUCGAGAGUGGCGUAGCGAGUGCCUUACUCCAGUCUCAGUGCUUUAUUUUCCACACUUCAGUUAGAGCCCGUCCACCUCGCAGCGUCCCGUUCCAAAGCGAGCGCUGAGAGUGCACUGCCACUGUUCUUCCUGUAACUGGACAGUGCACCUGCGAUUCCUCACUGUCACCCUGGGCCUCGCUGGGACUGGUGUUCUCAGGUUGCACGGCUGCGCCACCUGCUCCUUCCAGUUAUGAAGUGCGUCACCACAGCCUCAUCGGUGGCCUUUUGCUCUCCCUGAGGGAGGCACGUGCUGACUAGCAAAGAGGUCUAUCGUGAUGGCAUCUGCCAUGGGAUGAACUGUGUCCCCCAAUUCAUAUGAAGUCCCAACCCCAGCACCUCAGAAUGGCACUGCACUUUCAGUAGGUGCUUAGGUCAAGAUGAGGUCAUACGAGUGGGCCCUAAUCCAAUGUGACCGGUGUCCUUGUGAGAAGAGUUUAGGACAGAGACACACAUGGAGAGAUGACCAUGUGAAGACCUGGGGAAAACACAGCCACCUGCCAGCCAAGGAGAGAGGUCGUCAGCAGGAAGCCACCCUGUGACAUAUUAAUCUCAGACUUCCAGCCUCCAGAAUGAUAAGAAAAUAAAUCCUGACGUUCGAAUCUCCAGUGACCUUUCUGAAAGUCCCGGAAGUGAAGGACGAAAGCCCAGACCUCCUCCUUGCCUCAGUUUGUCUGUCUGGGGAGCAUUCGUCACGUGGGAUAAUACGGCAGACGGGCUAGUGCUUUCCCAUCCGGAAGAGAACGCUGCAUCCCGCCCUCUAGUGGAGAAGGGGCGUCACGCCGCCCAAACCGAGCCACUCAGAGCUCCUCUGGGGAACUUGAACCCUGAAGAGAGACCCCAAAAUGGAAAGUGAUCCGGAAUGAUUUGUCCAGAAAGCGGUACCUUAGAGAAGCUGUCCAAGUGUUUCUGCUCUAGAGCUUUCCUGAGUCCUGUUUUUUCUGAGACCUUGUUAUUCAGCCUUUUCUUUAAUCCAGUGAGCUACUCCAUGUUCUUCUAACACUGGUUGGUUGGUUGGUUACUUCAUUUAGCCAGAGUGUGUCUCUGUUGUUUGUCAGUGAUAUAAAGGAUAUGUUCAUUUAAUAUUUUGACAAAUAUUUCUAUCUGCCCUCCAAUCUGAGAUAGCAAUUUAUAUUGUACUUCUACCAACAAGUUGGCAGCGUUUGGUUAUUUUGUUUUGCUUUUGUUUUGUUUUGAUUUGCUUUGUACUAGUCUGUGGUGUUAUGAGCAGAAUUUCCUUUUAUUCAAUUUUUCUAAUACAAUGCCACUUUGAUUUCCUGAUAGAGAGAUGUUGUUGAUUUCUAAAUAAGUGAAAUGCUGUUGACUGUAGUAGAUUGGCCAACAAAUAACUCAUUAUUGCCAGAAUACAACUGGUUUGUAUUAACUUACCAGAGGUAUAGCUGAUGAAAUGAUCUAGUGUCAAAUUAAUUUCAUUUAUAAGUGAAGUGAUUCACAAGGAUAUGAGCCGCAAGCUUGGACACUAAGGAUUCCAAAACUCAGCAUUCUUACAUGAUUACCUUUGUGGCUAUACAUAAUGACAUAAUCAUCAAGUACUACCAAAAAGAAUGGUCAUACAUGGUACAAAAAGUUCCUUUAAUGAACAUUAUGUUCACUGAAUUACUUUAUUCUUAGGAAAACCAGCUGUGGAAGUAGAACAAUUUGCAAUCUGAAUUGAAGGCAUACGAAAAUAAUUCAGAUUAUCCAACUGGGCAAAUAACAUCACUAAAAUGAUGUCCUGUGUAUGUGUGAAGAAAAAUGUCCAGGUGAUUUGUGGAAAACAUGAGCCACAGGUAAAGAUGAACUACAGUGAGAACUCAGUCACCCAAAAUCGUGCACGCCAGGGAGGGUGUGAAGAAAUGAAAUCACACCCACAGCCAGCUUCUUAAAACAUUUCCUACAGAAUGAAUAAGGGAAAAGAAUGUACACAGUGGACUUUUAUCUCCUCUUUCUCUCACGUCCCCUACUUUUGUUGAGAUUUUAAAAAAGAAUGGAAAAUGUUCAGUGGAGAUUUAUAAUGCUGGAACAAGGGCUUUGCAAGGUUUUGCACAAGAGCAAAAGUGUUAUUCAGAAUAUUUGACAGCCAGCAUAGUAAUAUAAAUAAAUAUAUAAAGCAAAAUUAAAUCAAUAACCACCAUGUGUUUUAUAGGCUCUCAGAAAGGAAGAUUACUUAAGUAAACAAAGUUGUGUUGUUUUGUUACUAAGAUACAUGGAAAGGAUUGUCUUCCCCGUGCCAAGCAGUGCAACUGACGGCAGGAGACGCUCCAAGUGCCUGGAAUAGAUAAAGGCUCCUUGCCAAGGCCUCCAGUGUGCUGUCCCACAGAGCUGAUAACCGACAUCCCCCGCUUUGCAGAGCUCACAGUUACGAGCGGUGUUUGCUGUAGGUUCUUUGUAGAUACUAUUAUUAGUUUAUGGACUCUCCCUCGUGUUUUGAGUUUCUUAAGAAUUAUUUUUAACAUGAAAAGGUGUUGAGUUUUAUCAGAUAUUUUUUCUGAGUCAAAUGAAAAGACCAUAUGGUUUUUCUUCUUUAAUCUAUUAAAUGUGGUAGAUUAUAUGUAUUCUAAUGUUAAACCUCUUCUGAAUUCCUUGGAUGGAGCAAAUCCAGACAAGACACAUUUUCUUUUUUUAUACUUGGUUGGAUUCAGUUUGUUAAGGUUGUAUAGGAUUUUUGUAUCAAUAUUUAUCAGUUAAUCAUCUGUAACUUUCCUCUGUUAUAUCAUCUUUGUCUAGUUUUGCCAUCAAGGCUGAAUAAACCUUAUAGAAUGUGACUAUGGGAAUACUUCAUUUCCUAUCUUCUAGAAGAUUGGAACAAUUUUUCCUUGAGAGAUUUUUAGAAUUUCCCAUAAAGUUGGCUGGGCCUGCUAUUUUCUUUGUGGGAAGAUGUUAAAUUGCUGAUUACAUUUCUUUAAUAAUUGUAGGACCAUUCAGGUGUUCCCUUUUUUUUUGAGUCAAAUUUAGUAAGUUAUAAUUUUCCAGGAAUUCAUUUAUUUCAAAUUUAUUAACAUAACAUUUGAUGAACAAAUGAAGUAAUUAUGAUAGGUAGAUAAAAUAUAUUUAAUAAUUAUUCUCUUUUAUUUUUAUGUCUGCUGUUUGUGUAGUUGUAUCUCUUUUUAAAUCCUAUUUAUUUGUGCCUUCUAUCUUUUAUUCUUGAUAAAUAUCACUAGAUGUUUGGUUAUUAUAUAAAUAUUUUCUAAGAACCAUUUUUUUGUAUUAGAU